This is a long non-coding RNA of Pleuronectes platessa (European plaice), 1705 nucleotides long. RefSeq lists it as uncharacterized. Lineage: Eukaryota; Metazoa; Chordata; Actinopteri; Pleuronectiformes; Pleuronectidae. The record is from RefSeq and is a predicted model, not a curated record. The transcript has 4 exons.
AAUCCGGAAGAUGAAGUGCAACCAAAGGGGAAGGGGUUUGUUUAUUGGGAUUGUGGAGCAACAGCUGCCUACAGCCACAGAGACACGAGUCAGGGCUGCAUCCUUUCAUUCCUCAGACCUCCCCGUCUCGCCACCCGUACAUCUUUUCUUCGCCUCUCUCCUCCUCUUCCAUUAUCUGCGUGGCCACAGUAGGAGGCCCGAUAAAUACAGACGAGCGCUGCAGGCGGCACGACGGCACGACGGAGGAAAGACUUGAGGAACGAGGCCUGCUGGGUUCACCAAGAUUGCCGGGGCCAUGGAGAUGUUGAGCGGUAAAAGUCCUGGCAGCCAAGGAGGAGAGUGAUGAAGUCGCACUGCUUUCCAAAACGCAGGCAGCAGCAGAAGGCACUCGAAUUGGAAAAGAAUAGGCCGUGCUCUGGGAAAACUUGGCUGCGAAAUAAAGGCAAAAUAUCCCGGAUUCCAAAUCUACCAUCUAUCACAUUUGUAGCCAGAGUCUGUGCAGUGGAGAUCGAGGUAUGAAGCCGGAAUAUGAAGGUCCCACCGAUACAUGCGCCCGACCAAUCUUUGGUCCAUGUCCAAACCACAACAUGGAGGAGGAGGGAUCUAUGAUGUGCAGAGCAAUCAACACACUUUGGCUUUUGCUUUUGGGGAGCAGUCACAUUCUCCAUCUUUAUAAACAGCCUCGGGUGGGACGGAGGAGAAAAUGCUUUCACACUGGCAUUUCAUGACAAUGUGGUUUAUGCAAGACAAACCACAAACGACAAUAUAGGGAAAACAGGGCAUUCUGGGAGAUGGGCACUGCAGAGGGAUUCCCCUGCUCUUCAAAGCACCACAACUGCAUGUACGCACACACCCACAUACACACACACACACACACACACACACACACACACACACACACACACACACACACACACACACACACACAGACACACACACUCACACUCCCUUUAUCUCUCGCUUCAGUAGAUGGAAUAAAGCCAGGUUUGCUUCCUGCCUCUCUUAUUUUAGCCUCCCUGCCGAGAGCACGCUUGGCCUCGAUUCCUCUAACCUGUCUCUGCUUUGUGCCGGAGCUCUUUUCUCUCCGGCUGCUCAUCCUCUUUCUCACCGCUGUGGACACAAACCCAUGACAACUUGGUGUUGCCUUCUCUCAUUCCCCUUGUUGGUCUGGGCUGCUUAUCGGGGAAAUGCAUUGGGUCGGCUUUCAACCUGCCAGUGUUGGAUAGGCCCGCUUUGAAAUGAUAGCUUCUGCAUGCGAGUAGAAAUGAGGACACAUCCUGCAGCUGCUGGGGGCUGGACACAGCACCGGGGGGGGUUUCUUGACCCUUGUACAUCAAGAUGAAGUGAAGGGUACAAGGAGGUCAAAGGAGGUUGAAUGUCAAAUCAAGAGGGACAACAAUAAAAACAUUUAAACAAAUAUUGGACGAAAAAUAUCUUUCGGUUAUAUCCCAAAAUACCAGCUCAAUUCAUCAACCAACAUUUAAUCAAGCUGCACAGCAAGAAAUCAACAGAUAAAUCAUUUGGCCUCUAAAAUGUCAAAGUGCCCACAGCCCAUUUGUGUGCAACGCAGAAGAAAAGGUAUUUAAUUGACAUGGAAUGAAGAGAAAGAAGAAUCCCUUAAAAGGUUUAGGAGGAUGUGAUGAGCAUUUACUUAAUGAAGAACUUGAUUGAUGAUCAACUGACACAAUUAAAGUAGUUAGUAAAG